Molecule: ribosomal RNA, 235 nt
Filed under: uncultured Pseudomonas sp.
Lineage: Bacteria; Pseudomonadati; Pseudomonadota; Gammaproteobacteria; Pseudomonadales; Pseudomonadaceae
Description: partial 16S ribosomal RNA
Rfam family: Bacterial small subunit ribosomal RNA
Source: RNAcentral
UGCCGGGUGACAAACCGGAGGAAGGUGGGGAUGACGUCAAGUCAUCAUGGCCCUUACGGCCUGGGCUACACACGUGCUACAAUGGUCGGUACAAAGGGUUGCCAAGCCGCGAGGUGGAGCUAAUACCCAUAAAACCGAUCGUAGUCCGGAUCGCAGUCUGCAACUCGACUGCGUGAAGUCGGAAUCGCUAGUAAUCGUGAAUCAGAAUGUCACGGUGAAUACGUUCCCGGGCCUU